CACACACACACCUGCACAGGCAGCAUAAAAUAAGCAGAGGUUUAAACAUGGUCUUUCAGACUGCCUGGGUUUAGCCUAGUUCUGAUGGGGUGAUAGGAGCUGUUUCUAAGAUGGAUUGACCUCAACAGUAACCAAAAUGGAGGACUGCUACUUGGGCGCAAUAAAACCUUCAAAUUCACUUGCCAGGAUUUUUGACAGCAGAUUUGCACUGAGAUGUAAAAUUCAGGGUUUCUCUUGUGGACAAUACCUCCAUUAGAAGCUGGACAAGAUAAGGAGUGGAGGUUACCAAGUGUUGGUAAGCAGUCCACCAAGGCUGGAGAGUCACACUUACAAAGCUUUAAGUGUAACAAGCAAAAAUGGUUGAACAAGCAAAGAGCAAAGGAAGCUAGAGUGGCAUCAAAAUGCAAAGCAGCUCCAGCAUCAUCUGCCAUUCAGUGGGAAAACGCCAUUCUGUUCUCCUUCCUCUGUCAGCAAGGAGCAGCUUCUGGUCUAAAAUGACAAAAAAGGCAAAAGAAGAUUUGUGUGGCUGUAAGAAAAGAAUGUUAGUAAUGGUGAUUUCAGCUCUAUGGUGAAAAUACUGGAGAUCUGGCAGGAGCUGUCAGCGUUGGUUGGUUUUGAGGGCCAAGUGUGGGGCUAAGUUUCCAGCUGGUUCUGCAGGAGGCAUCUCAGCGGCAGUGUAGGGCCAGGGCAGUGCUGCAAGCCAGGGCAGACCCAGUUUGACUGUACAGAUCACACCCUUCAUCAAAGAUGUGUAACUCGAGUUUCCCCUGUUCUCUGAAAUCUGCUAAAGGGAAUGCAGUCAGCUCCCAGCUGCUUCCAGAGGCUGAGGCCACGCUGCUUGCCCGCUUCAAGCAAGAAAACUGGCUGAUGAUAAACAUGCUUUUUAACCACCCUUAUAUGGAAAUUUACUCAUGCACUCUGUACGUCCCUUUCUUCACCGUGGAUGCCACAGGGCUCCUUACGUGUACAGGAGGGGAAUGACACAAAGUGGGGCACUGGAGAGGGAAGGCAACGGUGAGGUGGGAGGAGGAAGAGAAGGAAGUGAUGCCAGGAGAGCUCCUUGGAUCUCUCCACCUCCUUUCCCUCACUGGCUCCUGCGGGACCUGCCCCCACGACACCCCCCUCUCAGCAGCCCCGUAUUUAAGAGAAGAUUCUCGCAUUUCAGAUUGAGAAAGUUCAUGACACACGGUAAUGGCUCUAAAUGGUAAAUUCAAUCACACCGUCAACAAUUGAAUAGAAGCGGCACAAAUGAGCCAAAUGCCAGCGAUUCAAGGGGAUGCUGGAGGAACUCCCAGCAAUCACAAGGCCACUGCAAAGACAGGCACCCUUCCUCUUCAAAGUUCAGGUGGCUUUAAUGUUGUAGGACAUGCGACAUUCUGUAAUUCAGUCUUUCUUUGCUAUAGAAACUGUGAGCUGUUCAGCAUUUUUGUAAAUACAUAGAAUGGAAGUGGUUGUUUCUGGAUGUUUUCUGAACGGUUUGUAUAAAUUUCAGUCACGGCUUGUCCUUGGGUUGUUGCUCCAACUGUUCUUUUAUUGGUUAUGGCUUUGGCCCAAUGCCCACCGGGUAUGGUGAUUUGGCUUAGGCUGAGUUUGUGUUGGCUACACAACACAAACAUGGUUUUGUUCCUUGCCUUCCAUUGUAAAAUAAAGCUUUUAGCCACGACAAGUAGAUGUGCACCAAGGAAUCAUUUGAGCUGAAGCUGAGGAUCCCAUUUAGAAAUUAAAGAAUAGCUUGAGAAACACACAAGAAUCCCCUAAAUAUUUGCAAAAAGUGAAUGUUAUAUGAGAGUCAUAACUGAGAAAUAUUCCUACAUUUAGAUGCAAAAUUGUCCUUCAUCUUUUUUGCAAUUAGUGCCUGAUCCAGUAUAGCUUCAAUGUUCUGCCAUUUUCCUUAUCUGUUUGAAAACUUCCCAAGAGAGCUACAAUGAGCUGGGGCCAUUUUCAUGACUAUUGAUUUCAUGGUUAAAAUUAUAGCAUUUGAUUGUUAUUUGACCAAACUGAGAUUAUUGUACAUUUUGAAAACAAGAGCGGUAGCAGCAGGAGUCGUGUCCCUAGAAAAGUACAAAGUCAGGAGCUGCCAAAGAGCCCCAGUUCCCCUGUGGUGCUCUGUGGGAGCCCCUCCGUGCUGCCGCUCUCCAGAGAACAAGCAGAAGGCACACAGAGCUUCAGUGACCUUCCCGAUGUCACCCCACGCAUCGUGGCAAAGCAUGGGACAGGUGUCGAGUGUCUGCCCUCCCAGCAGGUGCCCUCACUGCUGGCAACGUUUUCCUGCCUGGAAAAUGCCCGUACCUGCUUGCAACGCUGUCUGUAGGGUGUGGUUUGUGGUGAAGACUCUUUUAGAACUGGAAGGCCUGAAUUUCAUUGUAACUCCUAGUAAGUAAAUAGGUACUGGACAACCAUUUAUGCAGUAUAUUUUUCAUUGUCACAAUACAUUUAGGAAGUGUUGCUAAACCAAGGACUUUCUGCAUGCUCUGGUUCCUGCAUUUCAACAGACUAAACCAAUCACAAUUAGCAAUGGAUUUCAGAUAAAUCCAGAAAUGUUUUAAGCAAGUUCCUAAAUGUAAUAAGAACUCCAAAUACGUUUUUGAAUAGGAUGUUUCAAAGAUUAUUAGGACUAAAUGGUCUUAGUGCAUCAUAUGGACAGAACCAUCUUUUCUUUGUACUUCAUUUCAUUUUUUUUAGUCUGAGACCUCUCUGUAUUUUAUUAGACUAAGAGUAUAACUGA
Molecule: long non-coding RNA, 2725 nt
Organism: Hirundo rustica (Barn swallow)
Lineage: Eukaryota; Metazoa; Chordata; Aves; Passeriformes; Hirundinidae
Exons: 4
Source: RefSeq, a predicted model, not a curated record